GACGUAGGGCGCGAGCGUGUCCGGAUUUAUUGGGCGUAAAGAGCUCGUAGGCGGCUUGUCGCGUCGUUCGUGAAAACCUGCAGCUCAACUGCAGGCUUGCGGUCGAUACGGGCAGGCUAGAGUUCGGUAGGGGAGACUGGAAUUCCCAGUGUAGAGGUGAAAUUCGUAGAUAUUGGGAAGAACACCGGUGGCGAAGGCGGCUCUCUGGACCGAGACUGACGCUGAGGCGCGAAAGCGUGGGGGAGCAAACAGG
RNAcentral lists this ribosomal RNA (253 nucleotides) under uncultured bacterium. RNAcentral describes it as "partial 16S ribosomal RNA". It matches the Rfam family "Bacterial small subunit ribosomal RNA", at positions 524 to 776 of the family's 1533-position model. The record is from RNAcentral.